UAGGGAAUAUUGGACAAUGGGUGCAAGCCUGAUCCAGCCAUGCCGCGUGCAGGAAGAAGGCCUUCUGGGUUGUAAACUGCUUUUACCAGGGGAUAAAAAGCCCAUGCGUGGGAAAUUGAAGGUACCUGGUGAAUAAGCCACGGCUAACUACGUGCCAGCAGCCGCGGUAAUACGUAGGUGGCAAGCGUUGUCCGGAUUUAUUGGGUUUAAAGGGUGCGUAGGCGGCCUAUUAAGUCAGUGCUGAAAUAUCCCGGCUUAACCGGGAGGGUGGCAUUGAUACUGAUGGGCUUGAGUAGAGUUGAGGUUGGCGGAAUUGACGGUGUAGCGGUGAAAUGCUUAGAUAUCGUCAAGAACACCUAUUGCGAAGGCAGCUAACUAAGCUCAAACUGACGCUGAGGCACGAAAGUGUGGGGAUCAAACAGGAUUAGAUACCCUGGUAGUCCACACUGUAAACGUUGAUUACUCGCUGUUUGCGAUACACUGCAAGCGGCUUAGCGAAAGCGAUAAGUAAUCCACCUGGGGAGUACGCCGGCAACGGUGA
This 541-nucleotide ribosomal RNA is filed under the name uncultured Bacteroidota bacterium. Its description in RNAcentral is "bacterial SSU rRNA". It matches the Rfam family "Bacterial small subunit ribosomal RNA", at positions 355 to 897 of the family's 1533-position model. Lineage: Bacteria; Pseudomonadati; Bacteroidota. The record is from RNAcentral.